RNAcentral lists this unclassified non-coding RNA (258 nucleotides) under Hevea brasiliensis (rubber tree). The record is from RNAcentral. Lineage: Eukaryota; Viridiplantae; Streptophyta; Magnoliopsida; Malpighiales; Euphorbiaceae.
GCGGUUUUAAGGCGGAGUUGUCAUCUGGAUCAAUCUUUGGUGCUCGGUCAAUUAUUUCGAAUACUGAGGUCAGAGAUUUUCUUCUUUUGAGAAUAUAUGGAGCCAACCCAAAAGGCUCAACAAGUGCAAAAGAUGCAAAUGAGAACACCAUAAACUCCUUGAGCGCUGUAGUUAGAUUCACGUGCUUAUUCUUUACCAUGAGAGCAGUAUACCAAAGGAGAAGAGCAUUGCAACCAAAAAGAAGAAACUGUGAAAAGC